This 350-nucleotide ribosomal RNA is filed under the name uncultured bacterium. Its description in RNAcentral is "partial 16S ribosomal RNA". It matches the Rfam family "Bacterial small subunit ribosomal RNA", at positions 338 to 699 of the family's 1533-position model. The record is from RNAcentral.
CCUACGGGGGGCAGCAGUCGAGAAUCAUUCACAAUGGGGGAAACCCUGAUGGUGCGACGCCGCGUGGGGGAAUGAAGGUCUUCGGAUUGUAAACCCCUGUCAUGUGGGAGCAAAUUAAAAAGAUAGUACCACAAGAGGAAGAGACGGCUAACUCUGUGCCAGCAGCCGCGGUAAUACAGAGGUCUCAAGCGUUGUCCGGAAUCACUGGGCGUAAAGCGUGCGGAGGCUGUUUCGUAAGUCGUGUGUGAAAGGGCCGGGCUCAACUCGCGGACGGCAUAUGAUACUGGGAGACUAGAGUAAUGGAGGGGGAACCGGAAUGCACGGUGGAGCAGUGAAAUGCGUAGAUAUCG